Molecule: non-coding RNA, 251 nt
Organism: Cinara cedri
Lineage: Eukaryota; Metazoa; Arthropoda; Insecta; Hemiptera; Aphididae
Source: the annotation of a GenBank genome assembly
UGAACAAGAAAUAUACUUUAAAUGCAGGAACUCAUAACGAUAAAUGAUCGCAAACAGAAUUUGAUGGUUUUUUUAAUUGGAAAUUUUAAUUAAAAUUGAACGUUUAAUUAUAAAUGUUUGUUUGUUUUUUUUUACCGGUUGGUUUAAAUAACUUCAAACGUUUUGUGUACUCGUAUUACGACUAUCUGGCCCUGCAAUCAUUUGCUAUUGCUACGCAACUAAAUUAAAUAUAAAAUAAAACAUUUAGGCCU